Molecule: transfer RNA, 85 nt
Filed under: Felis catus (domestic cat)
Lineage: Eukaryota; Metazoa; Chordata; Mammalia; Carnivora; Felidae
Rfam family: tRNA
About the family: Transfer RNA (tRNA) molecules are approximately 80 nucleotides in length. Their secondary structure includes four short double-helical elements and three loops (D, anti-codon, and T loops).
Source: Rfam by way of RNAcentral
GCCUGGGUGGCUCAGUCAGUUAAGCGUCUGACUUCAGCUCAGGUCGUGAGCUCACGGUCCGUGGGUUCGAGCCCCGCGUCGGGCU